This 86-nucleotide transfer RNA is filed under the name Myxococcales bacterium. RNAcentral describes it as "tRNA-Leu". It matches the Rfam family "tRNA". Rfam says of the family: Transfer RNA (tRNA) molecules are approximately 80 nucleotides in length. Their secondary structure includes four short double-helical elements and three loops (D, anti-codon, and T loops). The record is from RNAcentral. Lineage: Bacteria; Pseudomonadati; Myxococcota; Myxococcia; Myxococcales.
GGCCGAGUGGCGGAAUGGCAGACGCGGCGGAUUCAAAAUCCGCUGUCCGCAAGGGCAUGCCGGUUCGAGUCCGGCCUCGGCUACCA